AAGAUGUUGGACUAUGAGGAGAUUUCCUAGCCUAGUUCCGGAUGUUCAGUCUGUGUUGUACAUAGGCCUACUUACAGUGUCUGAUGGCAGCCCAUUUGUCCAAUCAUUUAUCAUUUUGAUAUCCUCAAUCCUAUACAGCAUGCAUUGCAAGACAUUUGUUACCUGGAUUAUAGUGUUCUUAGUUUGAUCUUUGAAACAGAUUUUCUUAGUUUUAUAGUAAGUGAUGACUUAAUUUGGACAAUGAAACUGACAAUACUAUAUUAAACACCUGCUUAUCAUGGUGCGAAGUGAUAAGACACACCGUUACUGUGAAAUGUAUCACCGUAGUAUAACUUAAGCACCUCAUUAUGAUACUUGCACCUGAAGAAGAAAAUUAUGUGUUGGGCCUCCUAUAUUAAAUUUGUCACGCUUCGCUGCUGUAUGCUGCUUUUCAUUACUUACCGGUAUAAACUUUUUUCCUCACUGCAGAUUUGUAAGUUGAAAGUUUGCAAGACUGGCAUUCCCUGCAGGAACAGCGGACAGAUCCACCAAUGAUGAUUUUUUUUCUAAAGAUGCCAAAUCUUCAGAUACAUUCAAUUUGACCUGUAUGGUCACAGGCCUCUACUCAAAAAACACUAAGAUCAGAAUCCUGUGGAAGGACUGGCCUGUAGGGAAAGGUCAUGAAAGAUUGCCCAAUCAUGAUGGAACCUACGGGAUCAAACUGAGUGCGUACGCACACAAAUCAAAGAUAAAUGAUUAUCGAUGUGAGGUGAAUCACGGGGACCAGAAAUACACACUUGUAGUCGAAUGGCCUAAAGAAUUAGAUCUGGACAAGACAAUACAAGAAUUUGGAGAUUCUCAAAAGUCUGAUGGAUAUCCCCCCUCGAUUGGAAAGUGGUUUGCAUGUGUGCUGCUGGCGCUGGGCCUGGUGCUGGGGCUCGUGGUGCUCUUGGGAUACAUUUGUGUGAUACAUUUUGUGUGAAAAGAUUACUGGUAAGUUUAAAAUAAAUUUAAAUUCGAAUCUAAUAUAAAUUCUUACUGCAUAGUUUGAUUUGUAUUUAAACAGUUAACUGAUUAAAUCCUUUGCUUGUGAUCUUCAUGACCAUAUCAAUUUAUAUUUGGUUUGGUGUGUGAUUCUCAAAUUCACUUACCCAGGUUUCGGCAUGUAUUGAGUGUUAUGAACACAAAUCUAAAACGUGAGAAUUCACAAUUUCAAACACAUUGACACUUUCUGGCUAGACAUCAACAAGAUUAAAAAUUGUAACGCAAUCUCCGCAAAUGAAUGUGGCUCAUCAAUGCCAGUAUCAACAGACACUGCAGUGGAAAACAAGCCUCUCCUGAAUGUUGUGUUUUCUCACUCAUUUAUCUCUUUCCUUUUGCAGAGAAGGAAGAUACAGAUUCUGACUCUGGAUUUCGUGAAAAAAGCAGCCAUUCCAUGGAUCGGAAUAGCCUAGAUUUUGAUAAGGAAGGUACAGAUUCUGACUCUGGAUGUAGUGAAGAAGGCAGCCGUUCCAUAGGGAAGAAUCCCCUACAUUUUGGUAUGUAUUGAGUGUUAUGUACACAAAUCUAAAACGUGAGCCAGAAGGAGAAGUAUAGUCCUACAUCAUAAUUUGUCGUAAUACAUCCAUUAGUGGUUAUUAGACUCUUCUUUCCUUUUGUAAGGAAACUGGACAAUAAUAGCACGCUGUCCAACUAUUGGUUUGAAGAGGAUUAAAGCAGCAUAACGGAACAAUUGCUAAUCGC
Clupea harengus (Atlantic herring) is the source of this 1722-nucleotide long non-coding RNA. RefSeq lists it as uncharacterized. The transcript has 6 exons. Lineage: Eukaryota; Metazoa; Chordata; Actinopteri; Clupeiformes; Clupeidae. The record is from RefSeq and is a predicted model, not a curated record.